AGUGAACGCUGGCGGUAGGCCUAACACAUGCAAGUCGAACGGCAGCACAGUAAGAGCUUGCUCUUACGGGUGGCGAGUGGCGGACGGGUGAGGAAUACAUCGGAAUCUACUUUUUCGUGGGGGAUAACGUAGGGAAACUUACGCUAAUACCGCAUACGACCUACGGGUGAAAGCAGGGGAUCUUCGGACCUUGCGCGAUUGAAUGAGCCGAUGUCGGAUUAGCUAGUUGGCGGGGUAAAGGCACACCAAGGCGACGAACCGUAGCCGGUCUGAGAGGAUGAUCGGCCACACUGGAACUGAGACACGGUCCAGGCUCCUACGGGAGGCAGCAGUGGGGAAUCUUGGACAAUGGGCGAAAGCUUGACACAGCCACGCCGCGUGGGUGAAGAAGGCCUUCGGGUCGUAAAACCCUGUUAUUGGGAAAGAAAAAAAGUGGAUGAAACCCCGGCCGUCUUGACGGUACCCAAACAAAAAGCCCCGGCUAACUACGUG
This 492-nucleotide ribosomal RNA is filed under the name uncultured bacterium. Its description in RNAcentral is "partial 16S ribosomal RNA". It matches the Rfam family "Bacterial small subunit ribosomal RNA", at positions 29 to 507 of the family's 1533-position model. The record is from RNAcentral.